RNAcentral lists this ribosomal RNA (1243 nucleotides) under metagenome. RNAcentral's name for it is "bacterial LSU rRNA". It matches the Rfam family "Bacterial large subunit ribosomal RNA", at positions 1564 to 2818 of the family's 2925-position model. The record is from RNAcentral.
UGAAUACGAGACGCUAAGGCGUCGAAGUAGUGUAUGUCAUACUUCCAAGAAAAGCUUGCACUGUCAUAGAUAAAAAACGCCUGUACCAUAACCGACACAGGUGGGUAGGUAGAGUAUACUAAGGGGCGCGAGAUAACUCUCUCUAAGGAACUCGGCAAAAUAACUCCGUAACUUCGGGAGAAGGAGUGCCUUAUUCGUAAGGUUGCAAUAACAAGAUCCAAGCAACUGUUUAUCAAAAACACAGGUCUCCGCUAAGUCGUAAGACGAUGUAUGGGGGCUGACGCCUGCCCAGUGCCAGAAGGUUAAAGAAGUUGGUUAGCAAUUGCGAAGCUGAUAACUGAAGCCCUGGUGAACGGCGGCCGUAACGAUAACGGUCCUAAGGUAGCGAAAUUCCUUGUCGGGUAAGUUCCGACCCGCACGAAAGGCGUAAUGAUUUGGAUACUGUCUCGGAGAGGGGCUCGGUGAAAUAGACUUGUCUGUGAAGAUGCGGACUACCUGCACCAGGACAGAAAGACCCUAUGAAGCUUUACUGUAACUUGAAAUUGAAAUUGGACUUUAUUCGCGCAGUAUAGGUGGGAGGCGUUGAUUAUAAUCUUGUGGGAUUAUUGGAGCCAUCAGUGAGAUACCACUCUUGUAAUGUUAGAUUUCUAACUUUGAAUCAUUAUCUGGUCAAGAACAGUUUCAGGCGGGCAGUUUGACUGGGGCGGUCGCCUCCUAAACGGUAACGGGGGCGUACAAAGGUUUCCUCUGAACGGUUAGAAAUCGUAUCUAGAGUGUAAAGGCAUAAGGAAGCUUGACUGUGAGACCUACAAGUCGAGCAGGGACGAAAGUCGGUCUUAGUGAUCUGACGGUACUGAGUGGAAAGGCCGUCACUCAACGGAUAAAAGUUACUCUAGGAUAACAGGCUGAUCUCCCCCAAGAGUUCACAUCGACGGGGAGGUUUGGCACCUCGAUGUCGGCUCAUCGCAUCCUGGGGCGGUAGUACGUCCCAAGGGUUGGGCUGUUCGCCCAUGAAAGCGGUACGCGAGCUGGGUUCAGAACGUCGUGAGACAGUUCGGUCCAUAUCCGGUGUAGGCGUUAGAAUAUUGAGAGGAGCCUUCUUUAGUACGAGAGGACCGAGAAGGACAUACCUCUGGUGUACCAGUUAUCGUGCCAACGGUAAACGCUGGGUAGCUAUGUAUGGAGUGGAUAACCGCUGAAAGCAUCUAAGUGGGAAGCCCACCUCAAGAUAAGUAUUCUCAUG